RNAcentral lists this long non-coding RNA (356 nucleotides) under Setaria viridis. RNAcentral's name for it is "long non-coding RNA (SVIR_LNC010176)". Lineage: Eukaryota; Viridiplantae; Streptophyta; Magnoliopsida; Poales; Poaceae. The record is from RNAcentral.
AAUGCUUCAGAGCUCCAUUCAAAUCUCUCUUCUACAGGGGAUUUCGUGUUAUAUCUUCUUUAUACUCGUGAUAGUUGCAGUUGAUAUCCUGUAAGAUCCAAGGUCCUUGAACUUGUCCAUCGAUCCUGUGCGCCAACAACUCAAACAGGUCAUUAUCAUGCCUCAGCACCCACCGAAUCUCACAACACAAUUCCUUAUGUAUCCAGACUCGAAUCCUAGCUUGUCCACGAACUAAUGCACAAUACACCCCUUUUUGUGACUUGCCUAGAUAAAAUUUUGGAGAAUUGCCCACUUGUAUACUCAUGGGUCAUUUAAUUACUUGGUACUUGUCAUUCGACAAUGAUAUUCUGGGAAAC